ACGGAAGGCAGCAGUGGGGAAUAUUGGACAAUGGGGGAAACCCUGAUCCAGCGACGCCGCGUGAGUGAAGAAGUAUUUCGGUAUGUAAAGCUCUAUCAGCAGGGAAGAUAAUGACGGUACCUGACUAAGAAGCCCCGGCUAACUACGUGCCAGCAGCCGCGGUAAUACGGAGGAUGCAAGCGUUAUCCGGAUUUAUUGGGUUUAAAGGGUGCGUAGGCUGUGGUCCAAGUCAGGGGUGAAAGCCCGGCGCUUAACGCCGGAACUGCCUUUGAUACUGGAUUGCUGGAAUACGGAUGCCGUGGGAGGAAUGAGUAGUGUAGCGGUGAAAUGCAUAGAUAUUACUCAGAACACCGAUUGCGAAGGCAUCUCACGAAUCCGUCAUUGACGCUGAGGCACGAAAGCGUGGGGAUCAAACAGGAUUAGAUACCCUGGUA
This 434-nucleotide ribosomal RNA is filed under the name uncultured bacterium. RNAcentral describes it as "partial 16S ribosomal RNA". It matches the Rfam family "Bacterial small subunit ribosomal RNA", at positions 341 to 792 of the family's 1533-position model. The record is from RNAcentral.